UUGCAUCUUUUGUUUUAGCUGUAAGUUGUUUAUUACGUUCUUCAGGUGAUAAAUAUGCGACUAGCGGUUACAGACGUGAGCGAAGGAAACAAGGAAGUUUAUUUUGGAACCAAGUUAAUACUUAGUUUUUGUUAUUUCAAUUUUUACCUACGAGUGAAGCAGUGUGCGUACAUCUUGUGAUGAUGUGCUGGUUGAAACACUAUAGUAUUGGUUUAAAAUUAUUUACUGGGCACAUUUGAAUGUGAUUUUGUUUUAUAUUUAAUUGUCUGUUAUUACAUCACAUUUCGGGCGUUUGGUUAUGAUUUGGGACGGCGUGCGAAUUUCAUAUGUGAUUUUUUCAUGAAACGUUUGUCAGAUCCAACCACUUGUUCUAAGUUUUCAUAUUGCAGAUGGGAGCAAAUACUUUUUAAACAAGUAUGUAGUGUACUUAUGUACAUCUCACUUAAGUACCUGUACUGUUCAGAAAUUGUGAAAAUGUUACUCCUGUAACGUCGUGAAACAAAUGGCUGAGGUCGUGAUAUAGUGUGUGUAGUUAUUGGAGCUGUUUAUAUGUGCUUCGAUCUCCAGGAAAAACGGAAGUCGAAAUUCAAUGUUAAGAGUUGUGAUUGACGGGGCAAGGCGCACAGUGAAAUUGCCACAUUCACUGUGAGUAGAUCAGCAGGCAUGGACCACAGGAAAACUGUCUGCAUUAAAAAAGAGGAAGUAGAUGAAUUACCUACUGAGUCAAUAUCCAUGGUCUGAAGAUGGACAUCAUUGACCAAAACUAAUUACCUGGUUGAUAAGCUUUUGUGAACUGGGACUCGAUUUAUUACAGAACAGAUGUUUAUUGGAUCAUUGUGAAACAGUAUUAUAAAUAUGUCGCAACUC
Long non-coding RNA from Schistocerca piceifrons (Central American locust), 867 nucleotides. RefSeq lists it as uncharacterized. NCBI's taxonomy places the organism in Eukaryota, Metazoa, Arthropoda, Insecta, Orthoptera, Acrididae. The record is from RefSeq and is a predicted model, not a curated record. The transcript is spliced from 3 exons.